GAUGAAGAACGUAGCGAAAUGCGAUAAGUAAUGUGAAUUGCAGAAUUCAGUGAAUCAUCGAAUCUUUGAACGCACAUUGCGCCCGCCAGCACUCUGGCGGGCAUGCCUGUUCGAGCGUCAUUUCAACCAUCAAGCCCCCAGGGGCUUGUGCUGGGGCCCUGCGGCUGCCCGCAGGCCCUGAAAACCAGUGGCGGGCUCGCUAUCACACCGAGUGCAGUAGAUUACUCUUCGCUCAGGGCGUGCAGCGGGUUCCGGCCGUGAAACCCCCUACUUUUAAAGGUUGACCUCGGAUCAGGUAGGAAUACCCGCUGAACUUAAGCAUAUCAAUAAGCGGAGGA
Molecule: unclassified non-coding RNA, 338 nt
Filed under: soil metagenome
Description: partial contains 5.8S ribosomal RNA, internal transcribed spacer 2, and large subunit ribosomal RNA
Rfam family: 5.8S ribosomal RNA (bases 1-120)
Source: RNAcentral